Molecule: long non-coding RNA, 806 nt
Organism: Struthio camelus australis
Lineage: Eukaryota; Metazoa; Chordata; Aves; Struthioniformes; Struthionidae
Source: RefSeq, a predicted model, not a curated record
UGCUCCUAAUGUUUAAGUAAGACUGCAUGAUAUAUUGCCCAGUUUUAAUUUCCCAGCUUCUAAAUAAGCAUCACCUUACUCUACAGGCAGCCCGGCUGACUACCAUAGGCUUGCUUAAAUCGGAAAAGACUACUGAGCAUGAGUAAGAGUGGCAGCAUCUAGCCCUUUCUGACUGAGCCAAGGUCACAAAAGUCACUGCAAAGUCCAGAAGAAGAGCUCCAUGGUUGUGACUGUCAUUUCACUUGCUGGGAAGAACGUGCACUGAGAAGAGCACGCGGACAAGGCAAGCGGUUACAGAAAACAGAGCAAUAUGGACAGGACCACCAGACUCCUUUCUACAUGUGAUCUACAGUGCAUCUGAACACCUGUCUGCAGAAGGUGGCAGGACCUCCUGUGUGGACAAGCUGAUUCAAUAGCUCCCUACAGCGCUGACCUACUGUCCUGCCUUAGAAUGAACAACUGCGUGUAACGCGACAGGCCGUUAUAACAGAAGACUCCUCUCGGCCUCAAAGCUUUUGGGGUCUCCUCUCACCGUAAUCUGGAUCUUAACCCUCUGAUGUACUCAGCCAGCGUUCGCCUGUGAAAUUCCACUGACUUCAGUGGAGUUCCCCAACACGUACUGAGCAAGGAUGUAGAACAUAUUCUGACAUACCCUGUUUUAUUUUUCAACUCAUUGCCUAAAGAACCUUAUCAGUUUUGGACAACUGAAAAGCGAAAAUUUCAGGUGCUUUCCAAUUUCUUUUAAAUGAUUGCUUCUUUUCCUGUUUAUUCUAAUUGGUUUUUAUACUUAUAAUUACCAGCUAUAG